RNAcentral lists this long non-coding RNA (213 nucleotides) under Arabidopsis lyrata. Its description in RNAcentral is "long non-coding RNA (ALYR_LNC003289)". The record is from RNAcentral. Lineage: Eukaryota; Viridiplantae; Streptophyta; Magnoliopsida; Brassicales; Brassicaceae.
AAGGUGUUAUCGAAAACCUUGAUGGAACAUGUCUGAUUCCAAUCCAGUAUAGUUCUUCACCCCUAAGCUUCCUUCCAUCGGAGAGGUAAUGAUAUUGAAAUAGAUUUCUCUGUUAAAUCUGAAACGCAGAUUCGAUUUCCAAAUCUAUUUGCCGAUGUUCUAGCUUGAUUAUCAUUGAUUAUCAAUACUAUUAUCACUUGAAAAAUUUCCCAA